AAAGUGCGUGUCCCAUCGAUGCAAAUAAAUAGUAAUCGGACGGAGCCAAGUCUGGCCUGAUAAGUGGUCCGAAACUAGCUGAAGAACUUUUGAUAAAGACUAAAAAGAAGGUGUACUCUCAAACCAUGCGCAGAACAUUGAAAAAAGGCUAUUACAGUGAAAGAGUUGCUCGGAGACAGCCAUUUGUAAACGAAGCGAAUAGAAAGAAAAAAGUAAACUAUGCACGAGAAUUUGUUUUAAAAGAAGAUACAUGGCGAAAUGACGUAAUUUUUAGUGAUGAAAGUACAUUUAACAUUUUUAGUUCAGAUGGGCGGCGAAUAAUAUGGCGGAAGAAGAAUAAAGAAUUUUAAUUGAAAAUUACGAAACCCAUUGUAAAAUAUGGUAAUGGAAACGUGCUUGCGUGGGGAUGUAUUUCAAUGCUUGGAACGGGCGAAUUAGAUUUUGUUGAUAACAUUAUGGACGAAUAUAGAUAUUUAAAUAUUUAAAAAAAAUUUACUCAAAAGUGCUUUGAAAAUAGGGAUUGUUGAUAUAUUUAAGUACUAUCAAGAUAACGAUCUUAAACAUAAGGUCCGCAUAUAGAAAUAUUUGUUGCAUAACUAUCCAAAAUUAUUACACCCUGCACCUCAGUCACCAGAUCUGAACCCGAUUCGAAACCUAUGGGAAGAACUAGAAAGGUGAAUUAGAAAAAUUCCAAUAAUGUCAAAAGAAGUGCUGAAACAGCGAUUAAAGGAAGAAUGGAAUAGUAUUAAUACUGGAUACCUGAACAAAUAAUUUGUAAUAUGCCACAACGUUUGAAGGAAGUUAUUGAUCAAGAAGGUUACUCUAUACAUCACUUGUAAAAUGUAAUAAAUAAUAAAUAAUAAAUAAUAAAG
Molecule: long non-coding RNA, 872 nt
Organism: Bombus terrestris (buff-tailed bumblebee)
Lineage: Eukaryota; Metazoa; Arthropoda; Insecta; Hymenoptera; Apidae
Exons: 2
Source: RefSeq, a predicted model, not a curated record